Long non-coding RNA from Scaptodrosophila lebanonensis, 628 nucleotides. RefSeq lists it as uncharacterized. The record is from RefSeq and is a predicted model, not a curated record. The transcript has 4 exons. NCBI's taxonomy places the organism in Eukaryota, Metazoa, Arthropoda, Insecta, Diptera, Drosophilidae.
CAUAGUAAGGAUAAAUGUAUAAAUGCGAAGCCACAUUUGAACACAUUUUUAUUUGUACGAUCAAAUCAAAUAAAAAUACAAUGACAAUGACAACGACCAGUCAUCUGAACAUCAAACGCAUCAACAUGACUGAUCAACAGCAUUAUUCUACACCUUUACACUCGUAUAUUGGAGAAGUACUAGACUACGUCAUACAGAAGAUGAAAUUAAACUGCUGGCUAACCAUAUGCAUACAUAUAUAUACAUAAUCAAAUUUUGAUUUGAUACCCGGACUUAGAUAUACUUGUACUUUAUGAUUGAAAGAAAGAUGAAAUAAGUUGUAGAGAGAGAGAGAGAGAGAGAGAGAGAGAGAGAGAGAGAUAAUGCACAAUUUAUAUGUGAUUGAACGUUUAAGAACAUCUCUCAAUUUUGAACUUUACCACCGGAUUGAACUUAAGCUUAUAUCUGAAGCACCUCACGGACUAUGACCUUAUACCCAGAUUGAACUUUAGAGCAACGCGCUAUUGAGCAUCAGCUAUUGUCUUUCCUUGAUGCGGCAUGAAGAGAGUUGGGUUCCUGUUGUUGCAGCUCAUUAACGAGUUGAGCCUCAAAUCAAUUCUCGAAGAGCUCCCGCAGCAGCUAUAGAAAA